AACGCACCUUGCGCUCCUUGGUAUUCCGAGGAGCAUGCCUGUUUGAGUGUCUUGAAGUCAUCAACCCCUUCCGUUUCGUGCGGACCGGGUUGGAUGUGGGGGCUCUGCUGCCGUGAGGCGGCUCCCCUCAAAUGCAUCGGUUGGGCCUGCGGGUCGAACUCGACUGGGCGUUGUACCAUCCUCGCUCGACGGAGAUGUUCCCCUCCUGUGCCCUUCCCCGACCUGCCUCUCAGAGUGGCGGUCACAAGCAUAAGCUUUGAAAUCUGGCCUCAAAUCAGGUAGGACUACCCGCUGAACUUAA
This 301-nucleotide unclassified non-coding RNA is filed under the name uncultured Trechispora. RNAcentral describes it as "partial contains 5.8S ribosomal RNA, internal transcribed spacer 2, and large subunit ribosomal RNA". The stretch from base 1 to 52 matches the Rfam family "5.8S ribosomal RNA", at positions 103 to 154 of the family's 154-position model. Lineage: Eukaryota; Fungi; Basidiomycota; Agaricomycetes; Polyporales; Polyporaceae. The record is from RNAcentral.